GGGGCCGGGGUUCGCCCACGUAACGUGCUUAGGAUGCUGGCGUAAUGGCUUUAAACGACCCGUCUUGAAACACGGACCAAGGAGUCUAACAUGCCUGCGAGUGUUUGGGUGGAAAACCCGGACGCGGAACGAAAGUGAURAGGUCGGGACCUCUGUCGCGGAGGGCACCGACGCCCGGACCAGAGCUUCUGUGACGGAUCCGAGGUAGAGCAUGUAUGUUGGGACCCGAAAGAUGGUGAACUAUGCCUGAGUAGGGUGAAGCCAGAGGAAACUCUGGUGGAGGCUCGUAGCGAUUCUGACGUGCAAAUCGAUCGUCGAACUUGGGUAUAGGGG
Molecule: ribosomal RNA, 333 nt
Filed under: Phaeoclavulina alboapiculata
Lineage: Eukaryota; Fungi; Basidiomycota; Agaricomycetes; Gomphales; Gomphaceae
Description: Phaeoclavulina sp. PA-2020a partial large subunit ribosomal RNA
Source: RNAcentral